UACGAAGGGGGCUAGCGUUGUUCGGAUUUACUGGGCGUAAAGGGCGCGUAGGCGGCCUUCUCAGUCGGGUGUGAAAGCCCGGGGCUCAACCCCGGAACGGCACCCGAGACGGGUUGGCUGGAGACCGGGAGAGGAGGGUGGAAUAGCCAGUGUAGAGGUGAAAUUCGUAGAUAUUGGCUGGAACACCGGUGGCGAAAGCGGCUCUCUGGCCCGGUUCUGACGCUGAGGCGCGAAAGCGUGGGGAGCAAACAGG
This 253-nucleotide ribosomal RNA is filed under the name uncultured bacterium. RNAcentral describes it as "partial 16S ribosomal RNA". It matches the Rfam family "Bacterial small subunit ribosomal RNA", at positions 524 to 776 of the family's 1533-position model. The record is from RNAcentral.